This is a long non-coding RNA of Sinocyclocheilus rhinocerous, 541 nucleotides long. RefSeq lists it as uncharacterized. The record is from RefSeq and is a predicted model, not a curated record. The transcript is spliced from 3 exons. NCBI's taxonomy places the organism in Eukaryota, Metazoa, Chordata, Actinopteri, Cypriniformes, Cyprinidae.
GUUACCCCCGUGCGAUCCUCCCUGAAACCACAAAAGGUUAAUAUGUUGGUUUUCCUAGCGCGAAACAAGGACAUGAUAACCCAGGUCUAAAUCACAUUCGUUAACGCUUAAGUAAUAUUUCGUUUAUUCUCUGUAUUUUCACUUAGGCCAACACUUUGUUUUCAUGUGAUACUUUAGAAUUCUUUCGUUUUUCAAAUUGGAAAAAGGAUUUUCUUAUUGCUUGUUUUCAUUUGAUACUUUAGAAUUUUUUUAUAUCUUUUGUUUUUUAAAUUGGAAAAGGCAUGUUCUUAUUGCGGUUUGGCAUUUAACAAUAAACAAAAAUGUUUUAAAACGUGUCUCUCUGUCAGUUAAAAAGCAACAAUAUAUGCUACAUAAUAACGCAACAAUAGAGCUUUGUAUGCAGUAAAAUCAGGAUAAAAAAGGUUUGUAAAAAAAAAAAAAAGCGCGGUAACACCGCGUAUCGCGCUAUUGAGCCACCCAUAAUAACCGCAAGGGAAAUUUCCUAACCGCGACAGCCCUAUGUGUAGUAUUGAUGCUGCCG